Molecule: long non-coding RNA, 3802 nt
Organism: Lagopus muta (rock ptarmigan)
Lineage: Eukaryota; Metazoa; Chordata; Aves; Galliformes; Phasianidae
Exons: 3
Source: RefSeq, a predicted model, not a curated record
AUGAAAAAUAAAAGAGCUGGAUCAGAGUGGGAAAUUUCACCAAUAAAGACAUGAGAAAAAGAAAGACCCUGUCCACAACAUCCAUUCAUCCUUCAAAUGUUAUUUCAGCUUCAUUUUGAGGACAUAAACAACAUCUAGUUGUUUUUUUUUUUCCUGUCUCUUUAGCAAAGGAGUAAAAUCCAUCUAGCAAAUAAGUGAGAUUUCUGUGCAGAACAUGAACCCAGUCACAAAGAUUUUGUAGAAGAUGGUGAAAAUCACCGUUAUCUUUAUACUUUUGGCUGUGCCAUCAAAUGCCUAUUUUGAAUGUAAAUACCACUGCAAAUGAAGGCUCUGAAACUGAAGGUGUAUUUAUGUUUGGCCAAUAGGUCCAAAAUUAUGUUGGUGAGAUCAGACAGAAAGAUGGAGAGGCAGCCAGCCUCCUGUGGCCCAUGAGGUUAAGGAUGGAGCUGGAAACAGAAAGGAACGGGAAAUGGAGGCAGUUGGGAGUUCCAGCAAUAGAAAGCCUCCAGCCGAGCAGCAGGAAGGAAAGGAAGAGCUGGGGCUCAGUCACUCAAACAGACCCAUGUGCCCAGGUUGUUUCUCUCAAAACCUCACUGCCUGUUAUGCCACUGCUGAGAUCAUGUAAGUCCACGUGCCUUUGCCCACCUCAGAAUUCAUUUUUCUACCAAGACCAAACCUGGGGAAAAAUAUCUUGCGUUGUUUUUGUUGAUCUUUUAAAUCAUUUAGUUGCCAGAAAAGCUCACCUGCGCCAAACUAAUUGCAUAAUAUCACAUCCAUAGCAGAGCAAGUCCCCAGAGCAGGUUGACAUCAUUAAAGUAAUGAUACUUUCAUAACAAGUACACAUGUGCAGAAAGAACUGUCAGUGCUGCUGACUUGGGAAUUUACUUCAAGUCUGGCAAAGUGAAGUCUUGUUCUUAAAGCCCCAGCUCCUAGAUGGCAUCACUGUGAUCCAACACCUGAGGUUUUCCUCUUCUGCUGCUUUCUUUCAGUAUUUUUUCUGGCUUUCCUGACUCUGGAAAAGCCUGCAGUAUGAAGUGAAUGUAUCUUGCAGACUUAAACACCAAGCAAAUAUGUAUUUAUUCUGUGCCUUUAAGCCUAUCUUACAGACGAUCAAGACCUUAGACUAACCACUCAGCUCACUAAUAUUGAGUGACUAAUCCUCCCCCAAAGUGUAAGAUGGGUAAGAAAGCCAAGAGAGUGUUAUUUUUAAUUUUACAGCUAGAGAAUUAGUUCAAUUACUUAUGCCUGAUCCAGAGCCUACCAAUGUCAGCUGAUUGCUUGAGGUCACAGAGCUAAGCACACCUUUUCUAAAUCCCUGAUGCUGCUUUGAGCACAAGGCAUCUUUUCUUACUAAAUAUCAAAACUAUGUAGAUAUCACUAUGCAGAAUUUACAGAAUUUCUACUAAUCUGAACAGGACUCACAUACAUAUGCAAGCGUGUCAUAGAAGCUAACUCUGUAGAAGCAUUGCCUGGUAUUUAACCAGUUCUUUAAUCAUCUAAUCUCUCUGCAGGAGUUUUAUUAGGUGGAGAAAGAAAGGGGUUUUCUCUCUGCUGUUAUAAGUGGUUCCCUUCAGAUUUAUUGAAUCAUUAAUGUUGGGAAAGUCUUUUAAGAUCAUUCAGUCCAACCCCUAUCUCAUCCCUCUCAUGCCCACUAACCAUAUCCCUCCAUCACACCUCCAUAGUUCUUGAACAUCUCCAGGGACAGUGACACCACCACCUCCCUGGGCAGCCUGUUCCAAAGCACUACUGUUCUUUCUGAGAGGAAAUGUUUCCUAGUAUCCAACCUGAAUCUCCCCUGGCGCAACUUAAAGCCAUUAAGCCACAGAAGCAUCAUGAAUCUGAGCAUACUACAAAUAUACUUGCUAAAUCAUAAUACUUGAAACUACUAAGAAAAUGCAAUAAGAAUGUAAAUACAUACAUUUCUAAAUAUAUGGUUCCUGUUCUUUCAUAUUAUAAAUCCUGAGAAUAAUUAAUUAUAUGCAACCUCAAGACAUGAAGCUAAUAAUAAUCUUACAAACAGAAUCUAGGUGUAAGCAUCAUGUUAAGUCUGUAUCAAUGUUAUAUUUAAUUAAGCAGAUUAUGCAUCAUACAGUAUAAUGGUCUCUUGAUUGCUCUGAUAACCAGCUGAAAUGAGGUUCACCAAUACUAACAAGUAUUCACUGAAAUAAGGAACUGAACUUCUGUGCUUUCAAGGUUGCCUCAGGAAGGAUUUAUUAUAGUGAAUUAAGGGAUUUAGACACACAGGUGAAUCAGUGUUUGAAAUGCAAAUUCUUUAGGCAGUCUUGGAAAUCUCUGCCUUGCAGUGUAUUUGUACCAGCUCCCUGGUUCUGUGCCUAAGUAAAUACAUAAGAUCCAUGCCCAGAAGAAUGGCCACAGCCGUGUAAAUUGAACGUAACUUCCUGAGCAUAUGCUUUCAGCUAAUGGUUGCUGUUGCUCUUCAGCAAGCAUUUUACCUCUACAAAGAGAGCAAUUCAGAAUCACCACUCGUAACUCUUUUGCCACUGCUAUAGAAACUACAUCUGUGAUCUGAAGAAAUUCCAAAUAAAAAUUAAAACAUAAGUCUGUGUAUUGUCCCAGAAGACUGCAGUUCUUCUGUGCAUCAUGGAAGGAUUCCAGAAAUGUCACUCUUGUUUCUGUUAAUAUAUUUCUUUUAAUAAGCCUGUAGGAAAGCUUAAGAUAAGACAUAUGCUCGGUCUUUUGUUGGAUUGAAGACUUAUUCAGUACAGUGUGCAGAUAGCUCUUUUUAAUAACUGCAUAAUAUUGCUCAGUAAAUUAAAUAAUACAAACCUACCACUAGAAAUUCUAUCAAUAGUCAUCACAUCUGUAUGAUCAUUUUGUACAUGUUUCCCCUUUGGCGAGAUUCAGAAAGUCUCAAAAAACACUUGGCCUUUUAAGAAUGAGCAGAGGAGAGAUUUAAGGAGGCACACAUUGCAAAAGCACCCCUUAAAUGAUCAGGAACACUAGAAAUGUGGUAGUAUUCCAGCCUGCAUGUUUCAAAGCCCUUCAAUUGAACAUUAGAAGCAAACUUAUCCACCAGUUCCAGCUGUUGCCAGUGAGGAUAUGGGAUUUAUUUUUUUCUUUUAGCAAAACAGUGAGUCUCAAAACUCUACUGUGUUACUGAGGUUCCUACAAUCUGAAUAGCUUAGAAUUCCCAAUUUCACAGCACGAGAGGCCAGCUCAUACGUUAAGCACAAUGAAUCAUGAAAACUGUGGUGUAAAUAUGAGAUGUUCUCAGUCGCUGCUUACUGCAAUGUAAAGUUACUUCCAACCCAGUUCUCUCAUUCUACUUACGCAACGUGACUGUUGUUUAUAUCUUUUGAUUCACAUCAUUAAUAAAACACAUCUCUGCCUCUCUUAGAUAAGUACUUUUGUUUGCAAACAAAAAAAAUUAAAAAAUGCCAGGCUCCUGUCCAGUUCACUGUAUAGGGUACAGCUGAGUAUGUUUAGAUACCAACAAGAAUCCAGGGCACUGCAGAGAUGCUUAGCUUUGAAAAUGUAUUAAAGCUGAAUAUCUAUUCUGAAGCAGAGGUAUCAUGCUCUGAAAUCAUCACCGUAACCUAAAUAUCUAAAGACAAGAAAAGGACCUAUUUUGAGUCCAAAGUGCAGUCAGGAGGUCUAAAAGAAAUCUGUGUUGGUUCAUUUGUAAAGAUCUUGGAAGAAAGCAGAUGAGGAUUGUGAAUGAGCAGAAGCUGUGAGUAUCUCUCCGAGAGACGAAUAAAAGUUAUUGUAUUACAGAAGAUCACAGCAGAGUCUAAACAGAAACCUGGCAGUGCCACCAUGUGUACUACGCAGAUCCCCAACA